This 236-nucleotide long non-coding RNA is filed under the name Nicotiana benthamiana. Its description in RNAcentral is "long non-coding RNA (NBEN_LNC039441)". The record is from RNAcentral. Lineage: Eukaryota; Viridiplantae; Streptophyta; Magnoliopsida; Solanales; Solanaceae.
ACAAUGUGCCUCGUUAAAACCUUAAAACCAAAACCCAAUGGGAAAAAUUAAAGAAAGGAAAAAGAGUACACAUGUUUGAAUAUGCGUCUAUUGGUGCCUCGUUAAAAACCUCGCAAGGAAAACCCAAUUGGGACAAAACCUUGUAAGGGGAAAAGAGUGCAACGCGCAUUAAUUCCCUCUAAUGAGUACAUCAAUUUAUAUCCUUGAGCAUUUGCAUUCCAAUCUUGUGCAUCAUC